AACGCAAAUUGCGCCCGAGGCCUCGGCCAAAGGCCAUGUCUGCCUCAGCGUCGGCUUCACCCCUCCUCUCCUUUUUUUGUGAGAGGGAGCUGGUGGUCUCGGUCUCUUCGGACCGGGUCCGCCGAAGGACCAGAGGCUCAGCCGCUCCCUACGUCUAAAAGACAAGGGCAACAGUCUGGUAGGCGACUCGUCGCAUGCCUUCGCUGGUGCCCCGGGCGGCGGCCGGCCGGCAGGAGGUGCGCUCGACGCGCACUCUCAACAUUCGACCUGAGAUCAGGCAAGAGCACCCGCUGAACUUAA
Molecule: unclassified non-coding RNA, 300 nt
Filed under: Amorphotheca sp.
Lineage: Eukaryota; Fungi; Ascomycota; Leotiomycetes; Helotiales; Amorphothecaceae
Description: partial contains 5.8S ribosomal RNA, internal transcribed spacer 2, and large subunit ribosomal RNA
Source: RNAcentral